AAAAAAGGUAAGCUACUAAGAGCGAAUGGUGGAUGCCUUGACUGGUAAAGGCGAUGAAGGACGUACUAGACUGCGAUAAGCUACGGGGAGCUGUCAAGAAGCUUUGAUCCGUAGAUUUCCGAAUGGGGCAACCCAAUGUAUAGAGAUAUACAUUACCUAUAUAGGAGCGAACGAGGGGAAUUGAAACAUCUUAGUACCCUCAGGAAAAGAAAUCAAUAGAGAUUGCGUCAGUAGCGGCGAGCGAAAGCGCAAGAGGGCAAACCCAGUGCUUGCACUGGGGGUUGUAGGACUGUAAUGUGCAAGAGGUGAGUUUAGCAGAACAUUCUGGAAAGUAUAGCCAUAGAGGGUGAUAGUCCCGUAUGCGAAAAACAAACCUUAGCUAGCAGUAUCCUGAGUAGGGCGGGACACGAGAAAUCCUGUCUGAAGCUGGGUCGACCACGAUCCAACCCUAAAUACUAAUACCAGAUCGAUAGUGCACAAGUACCGUGAGGGAAAGGUGAAAAGAACUGAGGUGAUCAGAGUGAAAUAGAACCUGAAACCAUUUGCUUACAAUCAUUCAGAGCACUAUGUAGCAAUACAGUGUGAUGGACUGCCUUUUGCAUAAUGAGCCUGCGAGUUGUGGUGUCUGGCAAGGUUAAGCAAACGCGAAGCCGUAGCGAAAGCGAGUCUGAAUAGGGCGCUUAGUCAGAUGCUGCAGACCCGAAACGAAGUGAUCUAUCCAUGAGCAAGUUGAAGCUAGUGUAAGAACUAGUGGAGGACUGAACCCAUAGGCGUUGAAAAGCCCCGGGAUGACUUGUGGAUAGGGGUGAAAGGCCAAUCAAACUUCGUGAUAGCUGGUUCUCUCCGAAAUAUAUUUAGGUAUAGCGUUGUGUCGUAAUAUAAGGGGGUAGAGCACUGAAUGGGCUAGGGCAUACACCAAUGUACCAAACCCUAUCAAACUCCGAAUACCUUAUAUGUAAUCACAGCAGUCAGGCGGCGAGUGAUAAAAUCCGUCGUCAAGAGGGAAACAACCCAGACUACCAGCUAAGGUCCCUAAAUCUUACUUAAGUGGAAAACGAUGUGAAGUUACUUAAACAACCAGGAGGUUGGCUUAGAAGCAGCCAUCCUUUAAAGAAAGCGUAAUAGCUCACUGGUCUAGUGAUUUUGCGCGGAAAAUAUAACGGGGCUAAAGUAAGUACCGAAGCUGUAGACUUGACUUUGUCAAGUGGUAGGAGAGCGUUCUAUUUGCGUCGAAGGUAUACCGGUAAGGAGUGCUGGAGCGAAUAGAAGUGAGCAUGCAGGCAUGAGUAGCGAUAAUUAAUGUGAGAAUCAUUAACGCCGUAAACCCAAGGUUUCCUACGCGAUGCUCGUCAUCGUAGGGUUAGUCGGGUCCUAAGUCGAGUCCGAAAGGGGUAGACGAUGGCAAAUUGGUUAAUAUUCCAAUACCAACAUUAGUGUGCGAUGGAAGGACGCUUAGGGCUAAGGGGGCUAGCGGAUGGAAGUGCUAGUCUAAGGUCGUAGGUGCUUAUACAGGCAAAUCCGUAUAAGAAUACACCGAGAACUGAAAGGCUUUUUGAAGUCUUCGGAUGGAUAGAAGAACCCCUGAUGCCGUCGAGCCAAGAAAAGUUUCUAAGUUUAGCUAAUGUUGCCCGUACCGUAAACCGACACAGGUGGGUGGGAUGAGUAUUCUAAGGCGCGUGGAAGAACUCUCUUUAAGGAACUCUGCAAAAUAGCACCGUAUCUUCGGUAUAAGGUGUGGUUCGCUUCGUAUUAGGAUUUACUCCGAAAGCGAAGAAACUUACAACAAAGAGUCCCUCCCGACUGUUUACCAAAAACACAGCACUCUGCUAACUCGUAAGAGGAUGUAUAGGGUGUGACGCCUGCCCGGUGCUCGAAGGUUAAUUGAUGGGGUUAGCAUUAGCGAAGCUCUUGAUCGAAGCCCGAGUAAACGGCGGCCGUAACUAUAACGGUCCUAAGGUAGCGAAAUUCCUUGUCGGUUAAAUACCGACCUGCAUGAAUGGCGUAACGAGAUGGGAGCUGUCUCAAAGAGGGAUCCAGUGAAAUUGUAGUGGAGGUGAAAAUUCCUCCUACCCGCGGCAAGACGGAAAGACCCCGUGGACCUUUACUACAGCUUGACACUGCUACUUGGAUAAGAAUGUGCAGGAUAGGUGGGAGGCUUUGAGUAUAUGACGCCAGUUGUAUAUGAGCCAUUGUUGAGAUACCACUCUUUCUUAUUUGGGUAGCUAACCAGCUUGAGUUAUCCUCAAGUGGGACAAUGUCUGGUGGGUAGUUUGACUGGGGCGGUCGCCUCCCAAAUAAUAACGGAGGCUUACAAAGGUUGGCUCAGAACGGUUGGAAAUCGUUCGUAGAGUAUAAAGGUAUAAGCCAGCUUAACUGCAAGACAUACAAGUCAAGCAGAGACGAAAGUCGGUCUUAGUGAUCCGGUGGUUCUGUGUGGAAGGGCCAUCGCUCAAAGGAUAAAAGGUACCCCGGGGAUAACAGGCUGAUCUCCCCCAAGAGCUCACAUCGACGGGGAGGUUUGGCACCUCGAUGUCGGCUCAUCGCAUCCUGGGGCUGGAGCAGGUCCCAAGGGUAUGGCUGUUCGCCAUUUAAAGCGGUACGCGAGCUGGGUUCAGAACGUCGUGAGACAGUUCGGUCCCUAUCUGCCGUGGGCGUAAGAAGAUUGAAGAGAUUUGACCCUAGUACGAGAGGACCGGGUUGAACAAACCACUGGUGUAGCUGUUGUUCUGCCAAGAGCAUCGCAGCGUAGCUAAGUUUGGAAAGGAUAAACGCUGAAAGCAUCUAAGCGUGAAGCCAACUCUAAGAUGAAUCUUCUCUAAGCUCUCUAGAAGACUACUAGUUUGAUAGGCUGGGUGUGUAAUGGAUGAAAGUCCUUUAGCUGACCAGUACUAAUAGAGCGUUUGGCUUAUCUUUAAUAAAGCAU
RNAcentral lists this ribosomal RNA (2923 nucleotides) under Campylobacter coli. RNAcentral describes it as "23S ribosomal RNA". It matches the Rfam family "Bacterial large subunit ribosomal RNA". Lineage: Bacteria; Pseudomonadati; Campylobacterota; Epsilonproteobacteria; Campylobacterales; Campylobacteraceae. The record is from RNAcentral.